Molecule: ribosomal RNA, 603 nt
Filed under: Triticum aestivum (bread wheat)
Lineage: Eukaryota; Viridiplantae; Streptophyta; Magnoliopsida; Poales; Poaceae
Description: partial small subunit ribosomal RNA
Source: RNAcentral
AUGACCAAUACGCGAUGGAGCGAAAGUGCCAACCAGAAAGGUUAUGUUCCGGCAAGCUGCCCCAUGCAUCUCUUUGUACGGCAAUACACGAGGCUUCUUUUCGACCGGGAGGCCAGCACAACCUGGCCACAGAGGCGUGACCACGCUCAUAAAGCUAGGAAAGAGUCCAAAUGUUCAAACUGUGGAGUUAUAGGGGCUCAUCGGAAGAACAUCUGCAGCAACCCUAAGGAUGUGCAGGUGCUUUCAUGUAGUUGUCGCUGUCGUUUCGAGUUAUUCCCAUAUGUGAUUGAGAGUUGUUUUACCGUGAAUGGAGUUUUUGCUUUGUGUCCGUCCUAUUUUUGCUGCAAGGAGUGGUGUACCCUAUAUUGCACGCGGACGCCAGAGUUUUUGGCGCACUGUUACUCGUGCAGUUUGAUUUUUGAACGCGGGGAGAGGGAAGCCGCGUGCGUGUACAAGACCGAGACGCCGUCAAUUGUCAAACGGCCUUCCGCUAUCCACGUGCGUACAACCAUUAGUACAGCGCCGAAUACUGGCGUUUUCCGACCACCUGUACGCCCGGAAAUACCCCAUGCGGCUCACAUCACGAAACAAGGUAGUGGCUAA